Molecule: ribosomal RNA, 668 nt
Filed under: bacterium SL1.10
Lineage: Bacteria
Description: bacterial SSU rRNA
Rfam family: Bacterial small subunit ribosomal RNA
Source: RNAcentral
UGCAGUCGAGCGCAGGAAGCAAGCCGAUCCCCUUCGGGGGUGACGCUUGUGGAAUGAGCGGCGGACGGGUGAGUAACACGUGGGCAACCUGCCUGUAAGACCGGAAUAACCCCGGGAAACCGGGGCUAAUGCCGGGUAACACCUUCCCUCGCAUGAGGGAGGGUUAAAAGAUGGCUUCUCGCUAUCACUUACAGAUGGGCCCGCGGCGCAUUAGCUAGUUGGUGAGGUAACGGCUCACCAAGGCAACGAUGCGUAGCCGACCUGAGAGGGUGAUCGGCCACACUGGGACUGAGACACGGCCCAGACUCCUACGGGAGGCAGCAGUAGGGAAUCUUCCGCAAUGGACGAAAGUCUGACGGAGCAACGCCGCGUGAACGAUGAAGGUCUUCGGAUCGUAAAGUUCUGUUGUUAGGGAAGAACAAGUGCCGUGCGAAUAGAGCGGCACCUUGACGGUACCUAACGAGGAAGCCCCGGCUAACUACGUGCCAGCAGCCGCGGUAAUACGUAGGGGGCAAGCGUUGUCCGGAAUUAUUGGGCGUAAAGCGCGCGCAGGCGGUUCCUUAAGUCUGAUGUGAAAGCCCACGGCUCAACCGUGGAGGGUCAUUGGAAACUGGGGAACUUGAGGACAGAAGAGGAGAGUGGAAUUCCACGUGUAGCGGUGAAAUGCG